ACCGAGUCUUAACCGGGCGUUAAGUUGCAGGGUAUAGACCCGAAACCCGGUGAUCUAGCCAUGGGCAGGUUGAAGGUUGGGUAACACUAACUGGAGGACCGAACCGACUAAUGUUGAAAAAUUAGCGGAUGACCUGUGGCUGGGGGUGAAAGGCCAAUCAAACCGGGAGAUAGCUGGUUCUCCCCGAAAGCUAUUUAGGUAGCGCCUCGUGAAUUCAUCUCCGGGGGUAGAGCACUGUUUCGGCUAGGGGGCCAUCCCGGCUUACCAACCCGAUGCAAACUGCGAAUACCGGAGAAUGUUAUCACGGGAGACACACGGCGGGUGCUAACGUCCGUCGUGAAGAGGGAAACAACCCAGACCGCCAGCUAAGGUCCCAAAGUCAUGGUUAAGUGGGAAACGAUGUGGGAAGGCCCAGACAGCCAGGAUGUUGGCUUAGAAGCAGCCAUCAUUUAAAGAAAGCGUAAUAGCUCACUGGUCGAGUCGGCCUGCGCGGAAGAUGUAACGGGGCUAAACCAUGCACCGAAGCUGCGGCAGCGACGCUUAUGCGUUGUUGGGUAGGGGAGCG
RNAcentral lists this ribosomal RNA (565 nucleotides) under Salmonella enterica subsp. enterica. Its description in RNAcentral is "partial 23S ribosomal RNA". It matches the Rfam family "Bacterial large subunit ribosomal RNA", at positions 676 to 1238 of the family's 2925-position model. RNAcentral also lists the same sequence under 1 other name. The record is from RNAcentral. Lineage: Bacteria; Pseudomonadati; Pseudomonadota; Gammaproteobacteria; Enterobacterales; Enterobacteriaceae.